This 253-nucleotide ribosomal RNA is filed under the name uncultured bacterium. Its description in RNAcentral is "partial 16S ribosomal RNA". It matches the Rfam family "Bacterial small subunit ribosomal RNA", at positions 524 to 776 of the family's 1533-position model. The record is from RNAcentral.
UACGUAGGUGGCAAGCGUUGUCCGGAUUUACUGGGCGUAAAGGGCGUGCAGGCGGUUUGUUAAGUCUAGGGUGAAAGCUCCCGGCUCAACUGGGAGAGGUCCUUGGAUACUGGCAGACUUGAGGGAGGCAGAGGAAAGUGGAAUUCCCGGUGUAGUGGUGAUAUGCGUAGAUAUCGGGAGGAACACCAGUGGCGAAGGCGGCUUUCUGGGCCUUACCUGACGCUGAGACGCGAAAGCGUGGGGAGCGAACCGG